Molecule: ribosomal RNA, 643 nt
Filed under: uncultured Actinomycetes bacterium
Lineage: Bacteria; Bacillati; Actinomycetota; Actinomycetes
Description: bacterial SSU rRNA
Rfam family: Bacterial small subunit ribosomal RNA
Source: RNAcentral
CGCGGCCUAUCAGCUUGUUGGUGAGGUAGUGGCUCACCAAGGCGACGACGGGUAGCCGGCCUGAGAGGGCGACCGGCCACACUGGGACUGAGACACGGCCCAGACUCCUACGGGAGGCAGCAGUGGGGAAUAUUGCACAAUGGGCGGAAGCCUGAUGCAGCGACGCCGCGUGAGGGAUGACGGCCUUCGGGUUGUAAACCUCUUUCAGCAGGGAAGAAGCGUGAGUGACGGUACCUGCAGAAGAAGCACCGGCUAACUACGUGCCAGCAGCCGCGGGAAUACGUAGGGUGCGAGCGUUGUCCGGAAUUAUUGGGCGUAAAGAGCUUGUAGGCGGUUUGUCGCGUCUGCUGUGAAAAUCCGGGGCUCAACCCCGGACUUGCAGUGGGUACGGGCAGACUAGAGUGUGGUAGGGGAGACUGGAAUUCCUGGUGUAGCGGUGGAAUGCGCAGAUAUCAGGAGGAACACCGAUGGCGAAGGCAGGUCUCUGGGCCACUACUGACGCUGAGAAGCGAAAGCAUGGGGAGCGAACAGGAUUAGAUACCCUGGUAGUCCAUGCCGUAAACGUUGGGAACUAGGUGUGGGUCUCAUUCCACGAGAUCCGUGCCGCAGCUAACGCAUUAAGUUCCCCGCCUGGGGAGUACGG